ACGAACUUCUGGUUCUCAUCUGAUCACCACAGUUAAGCAGCAUCGGGCGUGGUCAGUUCUUAGGCGGGCGACUACCUGGGAACAACA
Molecule: non-coding RNA, 87 nt
Organism: Araneus ventricosus
Lineage: Eukaryota; Metazoa; Arthropoda; Arachnida; Araneae; Araneidae
Source: the annotation of a GenBank genome assembly